CAAAUACUUUACUUCAGACUCUGAACUGGAUAUCAGAUAGCAUAUUACCAACAACAUGUAAAUUGUAGCUAAACCAGUACAUGUUUCAGCGUCUGAAGUAAAGUAUUUGCGCAAGAUUUCUCUCGCUCAUGCUCUCUCAAAUUCGCAUAGAAACAUCCACGUGUUAGCUUCCUCGACUCACUGGUAGUCAACUUCAUUAAUUUCAGGGCGGAUUUGGAGAAUUGAUCAGAUGACCAUGGCAGCUUUUGCACUCGUGUGGAGUGGCAGUUUGUUGAGUUCCUGUUUGCUCCUAUUCAUUAAUUUCCUCCAUCUAUGCAUCUCACUGAAAUGUUGUUUUCUUUAUGGUAUCUCCCAAUUCUGCCUCUCCAAAUUUCUUGACUCUACCAGUAAUAAGAUCAUUUGCAAGUUUAGUCUAUGCUUCGCUACUAUAGUUUCCUUGACAAUCAAGCCCAGAAAUCCCACCACUGGCAACCACUGUUUGAUUGAUCGAAAAGGCCCUUAGAGUCUAAACUCCCCCAAUCUUCUUGUGAUGUGGUCAAUGAUCCAUCACCGGGUUCCACCAUGUUCAUAAGGUUGGGUUCUUCCUCUAACCCAAAAUAUCCAACCUUUAUGCUACUGUCUUCAUCUGAAACAACUCCCAAUCGUUGUGAUGAUCUUUCAAUUAAUGACAAGCUGCGGUUCGCUUCUGAGUCACACUUUGUGGCCUCUCCAUUCUCUGAUUCACCUUCACUGCUAUUCACACCUACGCCCUCCCCACAACACUCGCCUUCCUCUCUUCGCUUCUGCAACUGAUCAUUCAGUUUCUGCAACUGGAUUGCCAACGCCUGCUUCUCAUUCUUCAGAGACUCAAACCUGGAAGCCAAGCUAUUGUAAU
This 874-nucleotide unclassified non-coding RNA is filed under the name Hevea brasiliensis (rubber tree). The record is from RNAcentral. Lineage: Eukaryota; Viridiplantae; Streptophyta; Magnoliopsida; Malpighiales; Euphorbiaceae.